RNAcentral lists this ribosomal RNA (301 nucleotides) under uncultured bacterium. RNAcentral describes it as "partial 16S ribosomal RNA". It matches the Rfam family "Bacterial small subunit ribosomal RNA", at positions 509 to 807 of the family's 1533-position model. The record is from RNAcentral.
CAGUAGCCACGGGAACACGGAGGAUCCAAGCGUUAUCCGGAAUCAUUGGGCUUAAAGGGUCCGUAGGCGGUUUAGUAAGUCAGUGGUGAAAGCCCAUCGCUCAACGGUGGAACGGCCAUUGAUACUGCUGAACUUGAAUUAUUAGGAAGUAACUAGAAUAUGUAGUGUAGCGGUGAAAUGCUUAGAGAUUACAUGGAAUACCGAUUGCGAAGGCAGGUUACUACUAAUUGAUUGACGCUGAUGGACGAAAGCGUGGGGAGCGAACAGGAUUAGAUACCCCGGUAGUCCCUGUCUCUUAUAC